RNAcentral lists this ribosomal RNA (690 nucleotides) under uncultured Acidobacteriota bacterium. RNAcentral describes it as "bacterial SSU rRNA". It matches the Rfam family "Bacterial small subunit ribosomal RNA", at positions 15 to 717 of the family's 1533-position model. Lineage: Bacteria; Pseudomonadati; Acidobacteriota. The record is from RNAcentral.
GAUCCUGGCUCAGAAUCAACGCUGGCGGCGUGCCUCAGACAUGCAAGUCGAACGAUUAAGACUCCCUUCGGGGAGUGUAUAAAGUGGCGCACGGGUGAGUAACACGUAAGUAAUCUACCUUCGAGUGGGGAAUAACAUCGGGAAACCGAUGCUAAUACCGCAUAACGCAGCGGCAUCGCAAGAUGACAGUUGUUAAAGGAGCAAUCCGCUUGAAGAGGAGCUUGCGGCAGAUUAGCUUGUUGGUAAGGUAACGGCUUACCAAGGCUACGAUCUGUAUCCGGCCUGAGAGGGCGGUCGGACACACUGACACUGAAUAACGGGUCAGACUCCUACGGGAGGCAGCAGUCGGGAAUUUUGGGCAAUGGGCGAAAGCCUGACCCAGCAACGCCGCGUGAGGGAUGAAGUAUUUCGGUAUGUAAACCUCGAAAGAAUAGGAAGAAUAAAUGACGGUACUAUUUAUAAGCUCCGGCUAACUACGUGCCAGCAGCCGCGGUAAUACGUAGGGAGCAAGCGUUGUUCGGAUUUACUGGGCGUAAAGGGCGCGUAGGCGGCAUAUUAAGUCAGCUGUGAAAUCUCCGAGCUUAACUCGGAACUGUCAGCUGAUACUGAUGUGCUAGAGUGCAGAAGGGGCAAUCGGAAUUCUUGGUGUAGCGGUGAAAUGCGUAGAUAUCAAGAGGAACACCUGAGGUG